This 211-nucleotide long non-coding RNA is filed under the name Elaeis guineensis (African oil palm). RNAcentral describes it as "long non-coding RNA (EGUI_LNC073527)". The record is from RNAcentral. Lineage: Eukaryota; Viridiplantae; Streptophyta; Magnoliopsida; Arecales; Arecaceae.
GUCCGAGUUUAUCUGUACCUAACCGUUUGACAUAGAUCGGGUGUUGGGAAUAGUGUCCCAAAGCCAAUCAUCAGCCUGUUGACAGUUGUGCUCUUUGUUGUAUUAGUACAUAAAUUAUAAAUAAAUAAAAGUUAUUUUGAUAUUUUUCAUCAUAAAUUAUUUCAUCUUCUAAUGAACUCCUGUGUUGUGGUGAAGUCCUUAGGACUAUUUA